UACGGAGGAUGCAAGCGUUAUCCGGAAUGAUUGGGCGUAAAGCGUCCGCAGGUGGCUAUGUAAGUCUGCUGUUAAAGAGUGAGGCUCAACCUCAUAAGAGCAGUGGAAACUACAUGGCUAGAGUGCGUUCGGGGCAGAGGGAAUUCCUGGUGUAGCGGUGGAAUGCGUAGAGAUCCGGAAGAACACCUGAGGCGAAGACGGCUUGCUGGGCAUGAUCUGACGCUGAGGCGCGAAAGCGUGGGGAGCAAACAGG
RNAcentral lists this ribosomal RNA (253 nucleotides) under uncultured bacterium. RNAcentral describes it as "partial 16S ribosomal RNA". It matches the Rfam family "Bacterial small subunit ribosomal RNA", at positions 524 to 776 of the family's 1533-position model. The record is from RNAcentral.